This 440-nucleotide ribosomal RNA is filed under the name uncultured bacterium. Its description in RNAcentral is "partial 16S ribosomal RNA". It matches the Rfam family "Bacterial small subunit ribosomal RNA", at positions 338 to 795 of the family's 1533-position model. The record is from RNAcentral.
CCUACGGGAGGCAGCAGUAGGGAAUAUUGCUCAAUGGGGGAAACCCUGAAGCAGCAACGCCGCGUGGAGGAUGAAGGUUUUCGGAUUGUAAACUCCUUUUGUUAGAGAAGAUAAUGACGGUAUCUAACGAAUAAGCACCGGCUAACUCCGUGCCAGCAGCCGCGGUAAUACGGAGGGUGCAAGCGUUACUCGGAAUCACUGGGCGUAAAGAGCGCGUAGGCGGGAUAGCAAGUCAGAUGUGAAAUCCUAUGGCUUAACCAUAGAACUGCAUUUGAAACUGUUAUUCUAGAGUAUGGGAGAGGUAGGUGGAAUUAUUGGGGGAGGGGGAAAAUCCGUAGAGAUCAAAAGGAAAACCGAUUGGGAAGGCGGCCUACUAGAACAUAACUGACGCUGAUGCGCGAAAGCGUGGGGAGCAAACAGGAUUAGAUACCCGAGUAGUC